This 494-nucleotide ribosomal RNA is filed under the name uncultured bacterium. RNAcentral's name for it is "bacterial SSU rRNA". It matches the Rfam family "Bacterial small subunit ribosomal RNA", at positions 903 to 1397 of the family's 1533-position model. The record is from RNAcentral.
AAAUGAAUAGACGGGGGCCCGCACAAGCGGUGGAGCAUGUGGUUUAAUUCGAUGCAACGCGAAGAACCUUACCAGCCCUUGACAUGUCCGGUCGGUUUCCAGAGAUGGAUUCCUCCUAGCAAUAGGUCGGAACACAGGUGCUGCAUGGCUGUCGUCAGCUCGUGUCGUGAGAUGUUGGGUUAAGUCCCGCAACGAGCGCAACCCUCGCCAUUAGUUGCCAUCAUUAAGUUGGGCACUCUAAUGGGACUGCCGGUGAUAAGCCGGAGGAAGGUGAGGAUGACGUCAAGUCAUCAUGGCCCUUACGGGCUGGGCUACACACGUGCUACAAUGGCAGUGACAAUGCGCAGCGACACAGCAAUGUGAUGCUAAUCGCAAAAAGCUGUCUCAGUUCGGAUUGAGGUCUGCAACUCGACCUCAUGAAGUCGGAAUCGCUAGUAAUCGCGGAUCAGAACGCCGCGGUGAAUACGUUCCCGGGCCUUGUACACACCGCCCGU